CACAGCUUUUUCACUCAGAAAGCCCAUCACCCUCCUUAUCGCAUGCCAUCAGAUUAUCGCCUUCUCAAUGCCCUCCUCAAAACUCACGAUCCAUCUCCAUCGCUAAUACCCUCCUCAACAUUACUCUGUUUAGGUUGUUAGGUUUCUUUUUUAAAAGAGAAAAUAAUGGUUUUAUAUUGGCAAUUGAUUGGGAAAAAAAAAUUAUUUCCUCAUCUCAUGAAUUCUCUUCUUCCUCUCCCCCUCUCCAUCUUUCUUCUUCUUUUCCUCUCUUCUCUUCUCAUAAGUCUUGCACAGUUAAAGAAUGAGGUAUCCAACCAAUUUGCAAGAUCCCAAUGCAUCAACCCUCCUUCCUAAUACCUGCAUCCUCCCUAUGCUGUCACCUAUC
This 385-nucleotide long non-coding RNA is filed under the name Elaeis guineensis (African oil palm). RNAcentral describes it as "long non-coding RNA (EGUI_LNC056226)". Lineage: Eukaryota; Viridiplantae; Streptophyta; Magnoliopsida; Arecales; Arecaceae. The record is from RNAcentral.